AAAAAAAAGAAUAAGAAAAAAUAAAAAGAAAGCCUGCUAAGUCGAAAAUCUAAAAGAUGACAUAGGAAAAAAUUAAGGCAUCCCAUUAGACUAAUAACUCAAAAGAAACAGUCCAGGAAAAAAUUAGGGAUAAGAAGAAAAUCGAGAUGAAGGAUCACCAAAAAUCCUUAAACAAAAGAAAGAACAAGAACAAAAUUGUAUGACUACAAAAAAAAGUAGGUGAUUGUCACCUCAAGAAAAAACAUCAUUGGUUCCCGCACCAUAACAUUUUUACCUUCAAAAUCUUUUUUGGAGCUUGAAUGUGUGGGUUGAAU
This 314-nucleotide long non-coding RNA is filed under the name Lathyrus oleraceus (garden pea). Its description in RNAcentral is "Pisum sativum (pea) long non-coding RNA (PSAT_LNC032236)". The record is from RNAcentral. Lineage: Eukaryota; Viridiplantae; Streptophyta; Magnoliopsida; Fabales; Fabaceae.